This 439-nucleotide ribosomal RNA is filed under the name uncultured bacterium. Its description in RNAcentral is "bacterial SSU rRNA". It matches the Rfam family "Bacterial small subunit ribosomal RNA", at positions 954 to 1392 of the family's 1533-position model. The record is from RNAcentral.
GCUAAACGCGAAGAACCUUACCAGCCCUUGACAUGGACCGGAAUGCCCGCAGAGACGUGGGCAGCCGCAAGGCCGGUCCACAGGUGUUGCAUGGCUGUCGUCAGCUCGUGUCGUGAGAUGUUGGGUUAAGUCCCGCAACGAGCGCAACCCUCGUUCUAUGUUGCCAGCACGUUAUGGUGGGAACUCAUGGGAUACUGCCGGGGUCAACUCGGAGGAAGGUGGGGAUGACGUCAAAUCAUCAUGCCCCUUAUGUCUUGGGCUUCACGCAUGCUACAAUGGCCGGUACAAAGGGCUGCAAUACCGUGAGGUGGAGCGAAUCCCAAAAAGCCGGUCCCAGUUCGGAUUGAGGUCUGCAACUCGACCUCAUGAAGUCGGAGUCGCUAGUAAUCGCAGAUCAGCAACGCUGCGGUGAAUACGUUCCCGGGUCUUGUACACACCG